CAAUAGCGUAUAUUAAAGUUGUUGCAGUUAAGAAGCUCGUAGUUGGACCUUGGACCUGGACAGGCGGUCCGCCUCACGGCGAGUACUGUCUUGCUGGGUCUUUCCUCUUGGUGAUCUGUUGUUUCGGCAGCAGGGAACCAGGACCUUUACUUUGAAAAAAUUAGAGUGUUCAAAGCAGGCUCGACGCAGGAAUAUAUUAGCAUGGAAUAAUAAAAUAGGACGUGCGGUUCUAUUUUGUUGAUUUUUGGAAUCGCCGUAAUGAUUAAUAGGGACAGUCGGGGGCAUUAGUACUCACAUGCUAGAGGUGAAAUUCUUGGAUUUUGUGAAGACUAACUUCUGCGAAAGCAUUUGCCAAGGAUGUUUUCAUUAA
Molecule: ribosomal RNA, 370 nt
Filed under: uncultured eukaryote
Lineage: Eukaryota
Description: partial 18S ribosomal RNA
Rfam family: Eukaryotic small subunit ribosomal RNA
Source: RNAcentral